Molecule: ribosomal RNA, 834 nt
Filed under: Seiridium marginatum
Lineage: Eukaryota; Fungi; Ascomycota; Sordariomycetes; Amphisphaeriales; Sporocadaceae
Description: partial 28S ribosomal RNA
Rfam family: Eukaryotic large subunit ribosomal RNA
Source: RNAcentral
CAGGGAUUGCCCUAGUAACGGCGAGUGAAGCGGCAACAGCUCAAAUUUGAAAUCUGGCCCUUGGGUCCGAAUUGUAAUUUGUAGAGGAUGAUUUUGGUGCGGUAUCUUCCGAGUUCCUUGGAACAGGACGCCUUAGAGGGUGAGAGCCCCGUACGGUUGAAUGCCUAGCCUCUGUAAAUCUCCUUCGACGAGUCGAGUAGUUUGGGAAUGCUGCUCUAAAUGGGAGGUAAAUUUCUUCUAAAGCUAAAUACUGGCCAGAGACCGAUAGCGCACAAGUAGAGUGAUCGAAAGAUGAAAAGCACUUUGAAAAGAGGGUUAAAUAGCACGUGAAAUUGUUGAAAGGGAAGGAUUUAUGACCAGACUUUUUCUGGGCGGAUCAUCCGGUGUUCUCACCGGUGCACUUUGCCCAGUUUAGGCCAGCAUCGAUUUUCGGAUAGGGAUAAAAGCUUUAGGAAUGUGGCUCCCCCGGGAGUGUUAUAGCCUAUUGUAUAAUACCUUUCUGGGGAUCGAGGUACGCGCUUCUGCAAGGAUGCUGGCGUAAUGGUUAUCAAUCACCCGUCUUGAAACACGGACCAAGGAGUCGAACAUUUGUGCGAGUGUUUGGGUGUUAAACCCUCACGCGUAAUGAAAGUGAACGGAGGUGAGAGCCCUUACGGGUGCAUCAUCGACCGAUCCUGAAGUUUUCGGAUGGAUUUGAGUAAGAGCAUAACUGUUCGGACCCGAAAGAUGGUGAACUAUGCGUGGAUAGGGUGAAGCCAGAGGAAACUCUGGUGGAGGCUCGCAGCGGUUCUGACGUGCAAAUCGAUCGUCAAAUCUGCGCAUGGGGGCGAAAGA